GACGAACGCUGGCGGUGUGCUUAACACAUGCAAGUCGAACGGCAAGGCCCUGCUUUUGUGGUGUUCUCGAGUGGCGAACGCGUGAGGAACACGUGAGUAACCUGCCCUUGACUUUGGGAUAACUUCAGGAAACUGGGGCUAAUACCGGACAGCAGCUCCUGCUGCAUGGUGGGGGUUGGAAAUUUUCGGCGGGUGGGGAUGGACUGGCGGCUGAUCAGCUUGUUGGUUGGGGAGUGGCUUACCGACGCUGUGACGGGUAGCCGGCACGGGAGGGUGACCGGCCACAUUGGGACUGAGAUACGGCCCAGACUCCUACGGGAGGCAGCAGUGGGAAAUCUUGCACAGUGAGCGGGAGUCUGAUACAGAAGCGUCGCGUGCGGGAUGCCGGCCUUCGGGGUGAAAACCGCUUUCGGCUGUGACGAAGCGUGAGUGACGGUAAUGGGUGAAGAAGCACCGGCUAACUACGUG
This 468-nucleotide ribosomal RNA is filed under the name uncultured bacterium. RNAcentral describes it as "partial 16S ribosomal RNA". It matches the Rfam family "Bacterial small subunit ribosomal RNA", at positions 28 to 507 of the family's 1533-position model. The record is from RNAcentral.